Molecule: long non-coding RNA, 466 nt
Filed under: Amborella trichopoda
Lineage: Eukaryota; Viridiplantae; Streptophyta; Magnoliopsida; Amborellales; Amborellaceae
Description: long non-coding RNA (ATRI_LNC004044)
Source: RNAcentral
UAAACUAGUCCUCCCGAGUCGAAUGACGACCUCGAGUUGAUGUUAAGAACUCAGAGAAUUGGGGUUGAAUUGCUUGACUCUGGAUCGAUUAUUUUUAAGGAUGCAGUUUCUAUAAGAAAUAGGCCUUAUCAAAAUAAGGCAAAGCCUAGCUUGAAAAAUCUCUAGGCUAGCACUAAAAUCUAUUUCCACUUCAGAUUAUGAAAUUUGUGGCUUAAAAAACGGUAGAAUGUUUCUUGUAGAUCCCUAAACACUUAAAAAGGACGGAGUAGAUAAUAUCUUAUUAUAUACACUAUUUUUAGGACUUGGAAAUUUUUUUUUUUCACAAUAAUGUUGACGAUGAUUUAAACGUUUUCCGGCACUGAAACUAAAAAUUCUUGAGGCUUUACUUCUUUCCGUAAAACCUUGGCCCUAAUUUCAAAUAAAGUCAGAGCACAUUAACCAUUUUCUAUAAAACAAAGAAUCAACU